UACGUAGGGUGCGAGCGUUAAUCGGAAUUACUGGGCGUAAAGUGUGCGCAGGCGGCUCCGCAAGUCGGGUGUGAAAUCCCCGAGCUUAACUUGGGAAUUGCGCUCGAAACUACGGAGCUGGAGUGUGGCAGAGGAAGGUGGAAUUCCACGUGUAGCGGUGAAAUGCGUAGAUAUGUGGAGGAACACCGAUGGCGAAGGCAGCCUUCUGGGCCAACACUGACGCUCAUGCACGAAAGCGUGGGGAGCAAACAGG
RNAcentral lists this ribosomal RNA (253 nucleotides) under uncultured bacterium. Its description in RNAcentral is "partial 16S ribosomal RNA". It matches the Rfam family "Bacterial small subunit ribosomal RNA", at positions 524 to 776 of the family's 1533-position model. The record is from RNAcentral.